Molecule: small nuclear RNA, 107 nt
Filed under: Sciurus vulgaris (Eurasian red squirrel)
Lineage: Eukaryota; Metazoa; Chordata; Mammalia; Rodentia; Sciuridae
Source: RNAcentral
AUGCUUACUUAGGCAGCAUGUAUACUAAAUUUGAAAUAAUACAGAGAAGCCUGGCAUGCCCCUUGCAUAAGGAUAAUAUGCAAAUUCAUGAAGCAUUCCAUAUUUCA